This 2951-nucleotide long non-coding RNA is filed under the name Zea mays. RNAcentral describes it as "long non-coding RNA (ZMAY_LNC003210)". Lineage: Eukaryota; Viridiplantae; Streptophyta; Magnoliopsida; Poales; Poaceae. The record is from RNAcentral.
UUUGAAAAUUACAAAUCACUGGAUGAAUAUUCUCCAACUGGCUUGUCAGAUUUAUUUGGCCCCAUAACAGAUUCUGCUGCACCAGCUUUGGCACCUGCUGUUCAGAUAUUCAGUGUACUGCAUGACAUUCUCUCCAAAGAAGCACAAGACAUACUUAGGAACUAUUUGCAGGUCAGACACCACAGACACUUGUUUUGAGCAGUUUGCGUUUCAAUGCCAUCUUCAGCAAUGAUAAGGAAUGUUGCAUAUUGCAUGGUGCAGAAUUCGAACAAUCAAUCUAAAACGACUUCAUCUAUGAUCAGUAACAUGUGAUGGAUCAUUAUGAAACUACAUUAUACAAAUUGCAAACAUUUUAACAUAAUGCAGUAAUUUCCCAUAAUGUUAGAUUAGAUGAAGUUGAUUGUUCCAACUCUGCACCAUGAUGAGGUGGUACGACUAGCAUAUAGUAUGGUUUUCCAACUCUGCAACAUAAUGCAGUAAUUUCCCAUAUGGUCGUUUGAAAUUUAUCAUAUCCAUCCUUGUCAGAAUGGAUAUAUCUAGUCCAAUUAGCAGACUACACUGAUGUAUCAUUUACGUAUUAUGGUGCAAAAUUACCGUCAACAGAAAAAAUCUAUAGCAUAAUUGCAUUUAAACUAGCAAAAGUGACGAUUAGUCAUUGUUUUCCUUUGAUUCUUUUUUAAAGGCAAUAACAUAAAGACUCUUUUACAGAUUGCUGCUGCGAAAAGGUGCAGGAGGCAUAUGAUCGAGACAGAUGAAUUCUUAUCAAGCAAUAACGACAGUCUUCUUACGGACCCUAUGACUAUAUCUGCUGCAUAUCUUAAAAUGAAGACAUUGUGCAUUAACAUGAGUCGUGAAAUUCAAGCUGACAUUAAGAUUCACAACCAGAAUAUACUUCCAAGGUAGCAUAUAUGCUUCCAAGUAAUAGGAUUUUCUUCUGUUUAUCCACAUGUUGGAUUCUCUCACAAAUUUGAGUUUUCUUUUAGUUCCAUAGAUCUGCCAAACAUAGCAGCAUCCCUAUAUAGUACCGAACUCUGCAAGCGGCUGAAAGGUUUUCUUUCUUCAAGUCCCCCAUCAAGACCAGUACAACAUGUUGCUGAACUGAUAACCGCAACUUCUGAGUUUGAGAGAGAUCUUGAAUCUUGGCAAGUGAGGUAAGAUAUUGAUAUUCCUUUUUGGAACAUGAGUUAGCAAUACUAGCCAUGUUUAGCUGAUGUAUUUUUGUUCUGUUCACACAAUUGUUGUAGACCUGUUCAUGGCGGCGUAAUUUCGAGACAGCUCUUUCAUGACUACAUCAUGGUGUGGAUUGAAGACACUCGAUUGCAGUUACUUGAUAAUUGCAAAGCUGAGAAGGUAAUAAACACAUACUUCCUCCUUCCAAAAUUUAAGGUUUUUAGUUUGUCAAAUCAAACUUCUAUAAAUUUGUUUUAGUUUAUAGAAAUUCACCAACAUCUACAACAUCAGACUAGUUUUGUUAAAUCUACCAUGAAAUGUCUUGUGGAUGUUGACAUAUUUUGUUGUAAACUUGGUCAAAAGCUAGAGAAGUUUGACUUGUGAAACGGAGGUACUACAAGGCAAGAAAUAUAGAUCAUAUGGAUGACCUUUAGCUGUUGAACUUAAUUGAUUUCAUUCACCUCUCUUUGCAGAUAUCAUGCCCUGCCGUGUCAACAGUCUCGCCAUUUGUUGAGCAAAUGUAUGAGCAAAUAAAAGAGAGCAUAAAUGAGUAUGGAGUGGUUAUCAAUAGAUGGCCUCAAUAUCUGAUGAGUUUAGAGAGUGUAUGUACACAACUGCAUUCUUUGAAACAGACCUCAUAUUUCUCCUACAAUUGAGUCAACUUAUAUUUCUUUUCUUUUUCAGGCUGUUGCUGAUGUUGAGAGAGAAAUUAUGAAGGCACUGGAGAAGCAAUACAUGGAUAUUCUAAUGCCCCUAAGAGAUGGCAUACCAGAAAAAAUUGAGAAGCAGGUCCAGAGAUUAACAAGAAGACAAUCUAUAGCUCCCUAUGUUGUGCCAAAUCAGGUAGAUAUGCGUGCAAGAUAUUAUGGAGCUUGAUGUGAUGGUUAGUUCACGACUGACCAGUUUGCUGUUCUUAAUCACAGUUAGGAGCAUUCAUGAACACAGUAAAAAGGAUGCUAGAUGUGUUACACUGCCGAGUCGAAGACAUUCUCAAGUCAUGGGCAGCGUACCUUACUAUAUCAUGUGGGAACACUGUUUUUGGAGAGCAAAUGAACUCCAUCACAGUCAUGCUGAAGAAGAAGUACAAGAAAUACCUGCAAGCGAUAGUGGACAAGCUUGUCAGCAACGUAAGAAUGAUUUUUCAUGCUUUAUAACAAGUUCCACUCUUGGUCCAGAGCUAACUAAGGCAAUUUGCAUAUAGACGGAGCUCAUAGUUUUUCUUUUGGGUUUUUUUUUCAGACACAAGCUAAUCGGAAUACGAGACUCAAGCGAAUUCUUGAAGAAACAAGAGAGGCUGAUGGUGAAAGUGAUAUACGAGAUAGGAUGCAGGCUGUCCGCCUCCAGCUCUCGGAUUCAAUUCACAAUCUGCAUGAGGUCUUCUCCAGCAGAAUAUUUGUUGCUAUUUGCCGAGGUUUCUGGGAUCGGUUAGGCCAGGUAAUAAACGUGGCAACAGCAAAAGUACUUUGAAUAUUUCCGUUUGCUGUGAAUGCUUAUUAUGCCAAACUCACUUUGAGCAGAUUGUGUUGAGAUUUCUUGAGAGCAGAAAGGAGAACAGGAUUUGGUACCGAGGAUCUGACUAUGCUCUAGGGGUAAGCCUCAACUUAUAUUGGGACUAGCAAUGCCAAUGAAUGAAAAUCAAUUGUGUUGGGGCUAUUAGCAUGUAAAAUGGAAUUGAGCAGCAUAACCUGAUACUUUUACAUGCAGAUCCUUGACGAUGUCUUUGCAUCGGAGAUGCAAAAGCUGCUGGGCAGCGCUCUGCAGGACAAGGACCUGGAUCCACC